ACCGGGAACUGUGGCGCGUUCCUGUAAUCCAGCUGCUUUGGAGGUCGAGGUUGUUGGACGGCUUGAGGUUGGGAGUUCUGUCCUCCAGGCGCUUAUGUUGAUUCGGCGUCCGCGUUACGAACCCUGUCGAUAUGGUAGAACUGGGGGAGCCCGGAUCUACCAGGUCGUCUAACGAGGAGCGAACAGGCUAAGGGCGGAAACGCAGCAGGCAAAAGUUCCCGCAGGCUUCGGUAGUGGGAUAGCGCUGAUGAAUAGGUGCCAGUGGAUAGCCCAUCCAAGACGGUCGGACUCGGCCUUUU
Non-coding RNA from Stegodyphus mimosarum, 299 nucleotides. Lineage: Eukaryota; Metazoa; Arthropoda; Arachnida; Araneae; Eresidae. The record is from Rfam.